This 2844-nucleotide ribosomal RNA is filed under the name Triticum aestivum (bread wheat). RNAcentral's name for it is "partial small subunit ribosomal RNA". The record is from RNAcentral. Lineage: Eukaryota; Viridiplantae; Streptophyta; Magnoliopsida; Poales; Poaceae.
AUGGCGGAGGCGGUGAUGGGGCCGCUGCUGGGGGCGCUGCAGGAGCUGGUGAUGAAGGAGGCGCAAGCGAUGGCGGCGGUGGACGACGACGUGCGGAACCUCCGGGACAAGCUCAUGUGGCUGCAGGCCUUCCUCCGCGAUGCCGAGCCCCGGCGGCGCGCCAGGAACGAUGAGCUCACCAGGGUCUGCCUCCACCAGAUACGUGGCGCCGUCUUUGACGCCGAGGACGCAGUUGACCGCUACUUCCUCAAGAUCGACCUCUCCAAGUACCCAGGCUGGAGCCAAGCCGUCGUCCAAUUCUUCAUCGGAUUGACCACGCAGGUCCGCGUGCGGAGGGACCUUUCAAGGAGAGUCGGAUCCAUCAACAAGAGGCUCGAGAGAAUCAUCGAGAACAAGGAUAAGUACAAGAUCGACAACCAGGAUUCCUCAUCAGUCACCACAUGGAGGCCGUCCACUGACAUCAGUGCUGCUAUCGAAAAUCUGGGUCGUUUCACGCUACCAUUGGUGGGACGAGACGAGAAGCAAGAGGAAAUGAGGAAGGUGCUCAACGAGGAAUCCAAGCACCCCAUGGUGAUCACGUUGGCAGGGGAGAGCGGCCUGGGCAAGACAAAGUUGACGAAGGCGAUCUACGAGGAUCCCGUAACCAAGGAGCAUUUCAGGGUGCGCGUGUGGGUGAGCUUCGCGCCAGGCCUCAGCGCCUCGCAGAUCCUCAAGCUGGUCCUCCUGCGCCUGGCGCUGAAACCGACCAAGAGCAGCUACGACGGCGACGAUGAUCCCGGGGUAAGGCUACAAGCGGCGCUGCGAGCCAAGAUCUACCUGCUGGUCCUCGACGGUGAGGUGAGCAGCACGGAGUGGAACGGCAUCCUGUCCAUCCUCGGGAGGACGAGCAGCGCCAAGAGCAGAGUGGUGAGGAUCACACGGACGGACCCGGUGGCACAGUCCUCCAACUUCGUGGAUAGGAAUAUCCUCCUUACGCACUUGGACAAGGGCACGUCCGUGGAGCUGUUCCGCAAGGCGCUCCUCUGGGGCAGGGGUGGUGAGAAGUAUAACAGGAUCUCAGCCGACGACCUAGAGAUGAAGAAGCACCUGGAUUCCAUCCACGACGUCACCGGCGGUCUCCCGUUGUCUGUCGUGCUGCUGGCGGGCCUCCUGCAGACCAAGGAGUUCCCCGGGGAAUGGACUCGCGUGUUCGAGCACCUCACGGACAAGUCCGGCAAGUCCAAACGGGACGACAUCAUACUCUCCAUGUGCUUCGACGACCUCCCGCACGACCUGAAAUCGUGCUUCCUCUACCUGGCAUGCUUCCCAGUGAACAUGCUGGUCAAGGCGCGCACCAUGGUGUGCAUGUGGAUGGCGGAGGGUUUCCUGAGCCCCAGGGGGGGCAUGACGAUGGAGAAGGUGGGCAGCCAUUUCCUGAACGAGCUGGCCCAGAGGCACCUCAUCAACAUCCCGCCCGUGGAGUACGCCGAUCCUGGGUUCGAGAGCGUCACUGUGCAGUCCAGGGUCCACGACUUCCUGCUGCAUGAGGCGCAGGAGGUCCACGGCGGCGACGAUGUCCCGAUGCUAACCACCACUCGCCGCCUCGCGCUGCAGAAUCACAGCGAUAAGUAUGCUGCCCUCGCCACCCCUCUGCCCAAGCUGCGGUCCAUCUUCUCAAGCUUUGAAAAAGAAGACACGGGGAUGGGGACGGCGACGGCGGCGGCUCAUGCUGCAGGUGACCGGAACAAGAAAGGUACAAACACCACCAUUGCUCGGGUCUUCCCCCAUCUUCUUCGGAGCCCCGGUAGCGCCUACACGGACCCGAAGACGAUCAUACAGAGGCUCCUGUGCAAUUCCAAGUUCCUCCGUGUCAUCAGUCUAGAUGGCCUCGACAUUGGCAUCGAGUUACCCCAUGAAAUCGGGAGCGUGGUGCACCUGCAGCAUCUCGCCAUCACCUCCUGCUCCCUCAAGGUAAUACCACCGUCAAUUGGAAAGCUGACCCGGCUCCAGACGCUGGACGUCCGAGGCACCGGCGUCAACGCGCUCCCGAUGGGGUUCUGGAAAAUAAGGACGUUGCGGCACGUGUUCGGGUCCAUCCUCUUGCCCAGGCGAGUCGGCAACCUGGAGCAGCUACGGAACCUGACGACUGUAAACCAUGGCAACAACGGUGCCUGGGACGAGAAAACCUUCUCCAGGAUGGUACGCCUCAACAUGCUGCACGUCGACGGGAUCUCCGCAAGCAAUGUGGAGGCCAUCUACAAGCUCAAGUACCUCGUGAUCCUCAACCUCGCUUCUGGAGAUCAGGCGGUGAUCCCCUCAGAUCUGUUCACUAGAUCCAACCUCCCACGCCUCCAGAUGAUGCGGCUGGCCGGGAAGAUGGAGCAAUCCCCGACAUUGUCGGGCCGCAACUUUACACUCCCGACCCUGACGCAGUUGUUCCUGAAGAACACGAUGGUGCCGCAGUCCUUCAUCAACCAGCUGGGAAUUGGCCUGCCACUCCUCUCCGUGCUCGUCCUGCUAGAAGGCGCCUGUGAAUCGGAGAGCAUCGUCUUCAGCACCGGGUUCCACAGCAUCAAGUACGUGACGCUGGACGUGGAGCUGUUGCGGGUCGAGAUCCAGAGCCCCGCAUUUGGCCAUAACCUCGUGCAGGUGGAGAUCGUCACCUACUCCCCUGAAAUCCUUGUUGAUAUCUCUCAGAAACCCGACAUCAAGGACAAGAUCAAGAUCGACGAUAAAUACAUCCGAGGUAUGGCGGAUCCCGCGCCUGAGGUGCCCAACGGUGCUCUCCAGGCCCUACUGAAUCAUCUAAUGGCGGCCACCGGCGGGGCUCGUCCGAUUGCGAGCCGUAUUCAAACAAAACCUUAG